This is a long non-coding RNA of Notolabrus celidotus (New Zealand spotty), 905 nucleotides long. RefSeq lists it as uncharacterized. The record is from RefSeq and is a predicted model, not a curated record. Lineage: Eukaryota; Metazoa; Chordata; Actinopteri; Labriformes; Labridae. The transcript has 3 exons.
GUCGACUCUCCGUGGCCAAACGUAUGGCAAAGUCAUUUAGCCUGCUAUUAACCGCAACCCUGCUUAACAAGCAUGUAGCUUUCACAUCUGAUGUUUGCCUUAUUUCAUCAGAAUUCAGAGGGAAGGACUGCACCCUUUGAAUAAGUUCCAUUCAACCUUCCAUCACAGUGCAAGCUGGGUUCAAUUUAGGCAAGACUUAGCAUAACGAAAUCACUUCCUGGACCACGUGUGCCCAGAGGAUGUAGCCUACCAUGUGACCUGCAGGUGGCCCACACAGCUAAGCACAAGGCGUUUAAAGAACUCUGGAGAGGAAGACAUUGAGCUCAAACAAAGCUGUUCCCUUAAUAAAGAAAAAAAGCAGGGACCUCCUUCUGCAGCUGAGUAGUCGCUCAAGACACAGAGAAUGGCUAGUCACCCGCUGGACAAGAGUGCAAGAAUAUACUUGGUACAAUUUUGGGGAAAUUGGAUUCUUAUGAAGGUGUGAGGAUAUGAUCCCAUCCAUUCCUUCUGGAUUACGAGGCCUCAGGGGUUUCCAUGUCCUGGCCCAUGUAUCCUGUCGUAUUGCCUAUGGUUGACUCAGGAGGCAAGACCUUUAGAGGCUGAUGACGGAUUUAAAGACUCGUUGACAGCUCUGGAACAAUGACCCAGAGAGGAAUCUGGGAAAUUCUGGGCUUGGAGCAAUACAGAAUACUAUUGUUUGAUUUCCCAUUUCUGACGGAGACUCACUGGAAAGGAAAUACAGCUGGAUAGCCCCUGUGGCAUGGCUGUGGCAUGAAGCCUUAUGAUAUUCAGACAUCACAAAAGCCAGCUGCAAAGUGGUCAGUGGAACAAUGUGGAGCAGUGGGUCCCACAGUCCUUGAAAUUCACAGGGCAAGUGAAAUGAAAAUUGGUCAGGGGAAUAUUGC